Molecule: long non-coding RNA, 818 nt
Organism: Schistocerca gregaria
Lineage: Eukaryota; Metazoa; Arthropoda; Insecta; Orthoptera; Acrididae
Exons: 5
Source: RefSeq, a predicted model, not a curated record
CGUUGUAAAUCAUGCGAUCGCUGGUUCGAUAUAGGAUCCCAUUACUUCUCUGAAUGCAAGGAAUGUCGCCGAAGAGCUGUAACUGUCGUCACUACUGAUCCCUCAAUCGAAGUCACCAGAAGUGGCAAUACAACUUUUGUCUCUAGACGUGCACUUCCUCCAACUCCAAUCACGGUCGUGUCAGCGACCCCAGUACCUGUCGUUACACAGCAACCACAACCUGUCAUGACUCAAACGACAGUGCAACACGUCUUGCCAACUCCCAUAUCUCAACCCCCUCCCCUCCAAGUUCAGCACACUGUUAUUAAACAAGUUCAAGUUCCCCCUCAGUAUCAGCCGCCACCUACCAUGACUUACCAACAAUCCAUAUAUUCAACACAACAGCCUACCUUUAAUGCUAUUCAGCAGCAGCAUCCAUAUCAGCAAGUCAUGCAGCCCCCCCCCGCUUCAUAUUCAUAUUCAAUAAAUCCCAAUAUCCAACCUAUGCAGCCCCCAGCCCCCUACCCCCCAAUCUUCAGUACCAAUCAAGUCUUCUAUGAUAACGGACCAGUUCAGAACGACCCUGGUAUGCAGUAUCCACCCAACCCUUACUUCUAUCCUUCGCAACCCCAAUAACAACAAACAGGCCCAAUGUCCAGACGUCCGAAGUGGAGCAAGCAUAUCUGUCCCAACCCAUUGUCCAUGGCAAGUGCAAAUACUUGACAAUUCAAGGCUUGGUUAGGUGUGCCGGUUAAUAUCUGCCAACAUCUUUGAUUCUUCCCAUUGAGAGAAAAAGCAGUCUUUACCCUAUUUGUGUAUUUUUUAUGUCUUCUGUUUUC